AGAGCCUGCAGGAAGGGAUCGAAGAGGGAUCUGAGGGGCCGACGUAGGAUCGAUAAGAGAACGGCGUCACAAAAGCCAAGAGAAGAGGUUCUAGAACAGGGGAGGCGCCAACAGGGUCAAAUGCGUCCGAGUGGUCCAAGCAAAUGAGAAUGGGAGAGCUUCCUCUGGAUUUGAGCAAGGCCCCAGGUCCUUCACCGAUGCCCGUCAUGGAGAGAGGAAGCAAGCAACCUCUGCUGUUCCUGAUUCUGCUAGGGGAUCUGGGGCCAGCAGACGCCCCGCACAGUGGCUUUUGGAGAAGUUGCCAGCUGUUGGAUCCAAUGAGUGCAUGUCGUGGUUGGUUCCAAAGGGCUCCCUGGCCCCCAAGACAAGUUGGCUGGGGAGCCAAUUGGCCCUCCUCGGUGCUGGGCGACUCUGGCAUACCGCUCAGCCACUCAGACUUGAAUGCCACCACGUGAAGACGUCUCUUCUGGGUCCCUUCUCCCUGUGGUUCCCUACGUAUUGGGCAAAUGGCCGAAGGGUCCCGGAGCCAGUAGAGUACUGUUCCUUUGGGCCACAGACCCUGUAAGUGCCUGGCUGAGUCACUGAAAGCAAGGAGCGCAGGGAGGCAGGGGACAGGGGCCUGGCGAUCAAUUCAAAUGUGGGCGUAUGAGCGCACGCAUGUUAAGGGUGGUGUAACGUAGAACCCCAAAACCACAGAAUUGAAGUACACAAGAUCGCUGAGAAGAUAGGGACUCGCCUGAGGUUGUACAGAGGUCAUGGCAGGCCUGGGUCUAGCCUACGCCCUUGACCCUUGGCCCCUCGCCCUGUCCACUCUAACCAUCAGAGGCACAGCCGCUGGGCCUCCGAUGGCAACACAUUUGAAUUCAGGAUAAUUUUCCCGGACAAACGAUGGGCUUAGGUGGUUCCGUGUCACCCUAGAGACAACCAUGAUGGAUGACGGUGACAACACUCAUUACGAUACCAGGGAAGCGCAGCCCGAGCCCAAGCGUGGGUCCCCGUCGCUGUCGAAGUCGGGGCGCCCGGCAGCCCUUGCUCGGGUCCUGGACCUGUUUGUCUUGUUCCCCGCGUGGCCCCAACACUUAGCCCACAGGGGCCCAGGGUGCAGUUCAAUUAGUGUCUGUUGAAAUAAUGAAUCAGUUAAUUAGUUCGCCCCUGUAAGAACCAGCUCUCCAGGUGGAAAGGUGUUCAGAAUUCUGACCUCAAACCCGAGGAAGUGCCUUUCUUCGCGGUCUCUCUCCUGCUCUGCUUCCCACGGGGCAGACCCCCCGGCCGGGCUCCCUGCUCCCGUGUUUGGAUGACGUGCUUCUCCUGAUGCUGUCCUCCCACACCCUCUCUGUUCUCGGCCAUUCCACACGCUGAGCUAACAGCUGACGGACUGCCUCCUACGUUGAAACAGGCACCCCAGAUUUGGAUCGUUGGUGCUGGGGCCCCAAAUGUAGGUCUUGAUGUCGGUCCUUGUUAAAUUUUCUCUUGUUGGAUUUGCUGCUUCGAUGUAGACGGUCAAGGCAUGCAUACAUGCUACUUUUCCUCUGCUGUGUCUGCUGUCCUUCCCCAACAAAUGGGAAGCAGUUGCCCUGUUUUCAUAAAUCCUAUCGGAUUGAAAGAUACACGGGGCAGCAGUGAAGACAGAGUCCU
Felis catus (domestic cat) is the source of this 1635-nucleotide long non-coding RNA. RefSeq lists it as uncharacterized. NCBI's taxonomy places the organism in Eukaryota, Metazoa, Chordata, Mammalia, Carnivora, Felidae. The transcript has 3 exons. The record is from RefSeq and is a predicted model, not a curated record.